This 208-nucleotide long non-coding RNA is filed under the name Elaeis guineensis (African oil palm). RNAcentral's name for it is "long non-coding RNA (EGUI_LNC002807)". Lineage: Eukaryota; Viridiplantae; Streptophyta; Magnoliopsida; Arecales; Arecaceae. The record is from RNAcentral.
ACACAAAAAAUUUUUACUAUAUAAUUAGAAAUUUUACAAGAAUACAAAAGAUGGAGAAGCAACUCUCUCUUAUGCGUCCUCUCUUCUACACAGCUCAGCCAUUAGCUCUCAUACAUAUGAUGCCUAAUGAUUAUCUAUUUAUACCAGACAUUAGGGUUAAUAACUGGUAGGGGUGUUUCCAGAUUUGUCCUCCAUUCCAAAGAGACAG